GUUCCUGCUUCUUUCCCCAAUUUUUGUCUUCCUUUCCCCAAAUUCUUCUUCCUUUCCCCAAUUCUUGUCUUCCUUUCCCCAAAUUCUUUGCUCCUUUUCCCAAUUCUCCUUUCUUUCCCGUGUUCUCCUCUUUCUUUCCUAAUUUCUUCUCCUUCCUUCCCCAGUUCUUGUCUUUCUUUCCCCAGUUCUUGUUUCUUUCCCCAUUUCCUGUCUCCUCUUUCAUUUCCCCAAGACCCUGCUUCUUUCCCCAAUUCUUGUCUUCCUUUCCCCAAAUUCUUCUUUCUUUCCCCAAUUCUUGUCUUUCUUUCCCCAGUUCUUCUUUCUUUCCCCAUUUCCUGUCUCGUCUUUCAUUUCCCCCCAGUUCCUGCUUCUUUCCCCAAUUUUUGUCUUCCUUUCCCCAGUUCUCCUCUUUUUUUCCCCAGAUCUCGUCUUUCUUUCCCCAAAUUCUUCUCUCCUUUUCCCAAUUCUCCUCUUUCUUUCCCCCGUUCUCCUCCUUCUUUCCUCAUUUCUUCUCCUUCUUUCCCCAAUUCACGUCUUUCUUUCCCGUUCAUUUUCUUUCUUUCUUCCUUUCUCUCCUGUCUCGUCUUUCAUUUCCCCAAGUUCCUGCUUCUUUCCCCAAUUUUUGUCUUCCUUUCCCCAAAUUCUUCUUCCUUUCCCCANUCCUUUCUCUCCUGUCUCGUCUUUCAUUUCCCCAAGUUCCUGCUUCUUUCCCCAAUUUUUGUCUUCCUUUCCCCAAAUUCUUCUUCCUUUCCCCAGUUCUCCUCUUUCUUUCCCCAAAUUCUUCUCUCCUUUUCCCAAUUCUCCUUCCUUUCCCGUGUUCUCCUAUUUCUUUCCCAUGUUCUCCUCUUUCUUUCCUCAUUUCUUCUCCUUCCUUCCCCAGUUCUUGUCUUUCUUUCCCUAGUUCUUUUUCUUUCUUUCUUUCUUUCUUUUUCUUUCUUUCUUUCUUUUUCUUGUCUCCUCUUUCAUUUCCCCAAGUUCCUGCUUCUUUCCCCAAUUCUUGUCUUCCUUUCCCCAAAUUCUUCGCUCCUUUCCCCAGUUCUCCUCUUUCUUUCCCCAGUUCCUGUCUUUUCCAAUUCUUCCUCUCCUUUCCCCAGUUCUCCUCUUUCUUUCCCCAAAUUCUUCUCCUCCUUUCCCCAAUUCUCGUCUCUUUCCCUAAAUUCUUCUUUCUUUCCCCAAUUCUCUUCUUUCUUUCCCGUUCUCUUUCUUUCUUUCUCUUUCUUUCUUUCUUUUUCCUUCUUUCCUUCCUUCUUUCCUUUUCUUUCCUUUCUUUUCUUUCUUUCUUUUUCCUUCUUUCCUUCCUUCUUUUCUUCCUUCUUUCCUUUCUUUUAUUUUCUUUCUUUUUUCUUCUUUCCUUCCUUCUUUCCCUUUCUUUCUUUCCUUUCUUUUCUUUCUUUUUCUUUCUUUUUCCUUCUUUCCUUCCUUCUUUCCUUCCUUCUUUUCUUCCUUCUUUCCUUUCCUUUCUUUUCUUUCUUUUUCCUUCUUUCCUUUCUUUUUCUUUCUUUCCUUCCUUUCUUUCCUUUCUUUUUUCUUUCUUUCCUUCCUCCUUUCCUUCCUUCCUUUCUUUUUCUUUCUUUCUUUUCUUUCUUUCCUGUCUCGUCUUUCAUUUCCCCCCAGUUCCUGCUUCUUUCCCCAAUGUUUGUCUUCCUUUCCCCAAAUUCUUCUCUCCUUUCCCCAGUUCUCCUCUUUCUCUCCUCCAUUCCCAUCUUUCUUCCCCAAUUCUUCCCCUUCUUUCCCCAAUUCUCAUCCCUUUCAUGGGGAGAAUCAAGGCAAAGGGAAAAAAAUGAACGGGUAGAGGAGAACGAAAGGGAGGAACAAUUAACAGAGAUAAUUAAAAACGGCGACUAAUGGCUGGAUAGCGUGAGAAAACUACUAGCAGAGGAUGGUUUCGAUCCAUCGACCUCUGGGUUAUGGGCCCAGCACGCUUCCGCUGCGCCACUCUGCUCCUGCAUUGAAGCUAAUUACUUUGUGCUUAUUAAUUACACAUUGAAAUUUUUGUUACUGGAAUAGAGGAAAAAAAUUUUUUUUUUUUUUAAAAACUGAAAAGCUGGCGCGAAUUCAUCAGAAUCUUUGUCUCACGCGGCUCGAAGCGCUGAUUGAGAUUAAUGACCGCAAAAGAAUGACGUGAUCCCGUCAUUAAUUAACGCAAAAUGACGCGCGGGUGGAGAUGCCGGGGAUUGAACCCGGGACCUCAUACAUGCGAAGCAUGCGCUCUACCACUGAGCUACAUCCCCUGCGCCCACCCCCUGUCCUUCGCCGCCGCUCAUUGGCUGCACGCUCCGCCUUAUCCCCGCCCCUUCCGCCCGCUUCCUCCCUCCCUCAGCAGCUCAUUGGUUCAUCCGACGUAUUCGUCCCGCCCCUUACGCCCACCCCUUUCCCUUCUCCGCCGCUCAUUGGCUCGUCCCAGCCCUUCUCCCCGCCCCUUCCUUUCCGCCGCCGCUCAUUGGUUUACCCCUUCCCAUUGGCCCCGCCCCGUGCUCCCACUCCUCCUCCUUCCCGGCUGCUCAUUGGUUCGCCCCACCCCUUCGCCCCACCCCUUCCGCCCGCCCCUUCCCAUCUCCGGCGCUGAUUGGUUCAACCCACCCCUUCGCCCCGCCCCCUGGAUCGGCGCAGCCUAUGGCGUGACGCGGCGCGGGGCGCACACAGCAGACGAGGUGGCCGAGUGGUUAAGGCGAUGGACUGCUAAUCCAUUGUGCUCUGCACGCGUGGGUUCGAAUCCCAUCCUCGUCGGGUGCGAACCUUUUGGGCUCUCUUUUAUUUUUUGCCCUAUUUCCCACAUUUCUUCCACCUCUCCCUUCACCUCCGGCCAUUUUGCCCCAGCUUCACCCCCCUUCCUCCUCCCUCCCCA
Molecule: long non-coding RNA, 2845 nt
Organism: Numida meleagris (helmeted guineafowl)
Lineage: Eukaryota; Metazoa; Chordata; Aves; Galliformes; Numididae
Source: Ensembl